GCCGGGAAGCGAAAGAAAGAGGGCACAAGAGUAGUGAGAAUAGGAACAUGGAGGAAAGCCUAACUUGCUUUGGUUUCAUCUCUAGUGUUGGAGAUGAGACCUUGAUUUGGUGUUUCCCGAUGCCUCCCAUUCCUAUUGUUCUCAAUCACUCCUUCCUCUUCCUUUUUUGG
Molecule: microRNA precursor, 170 nt
Filed under: Hordeum vulgare subsp. vulgare (domesticated barley)
Lineage: Eukaryota; Viridiplantae; Streptophyta; Magnoliopsida; Poales; Poaceae
Description: MIR2118 microRNA precursor family
Rfam family: MIR2118 microRNA precursor family
Source: Rfam by way of RNAcentral